AUUGAACGCUGGCGGCAUGCUUUACACAUGCAAGUCGAACGGUAACAGGUUAAGCUGACGAGUGGCGAACGGGUGAGUAAUGCAUCGGAACGUGCCCGAUCGUGGGGGAUAACGCAGCGAAAGCUGCGCUAAUACCGCAUACGAUCUGAGGAUGAAAGCGGGGGACCGUACGGCCUCGCGCGAUCGGAGCGGCCGACGUCAGAUUAGGUAGUUGGUGGGGUAAAGGCUCACCAAGCCGACGAUCUGUAGCUGGUCUGAGAGGACGACCAGCCACACUGGGACUGAGACACAGCCCAGACUCCUACGGGAGGCAGCAGUGGGGAAUUUUGGACAAUGGGCGCAAGCCUGAUCCAGCAAUGCCGCGUGCAGGAAGAAGGCCUUCGGGUUGUAAACUGCUUUUGUACGGAGCGAAAAGGCUCUCUCUAAUACAGGGGGCUCAUGACGGUACCGUAAGAAUAAGCACCGGCUAACUACGUGCCAGCAGCCGCCGUAA
This 493-nucleotide ribosomal RNA is filed under the name uncultured bacterium. RNAcentral describes it as "partial 16S ribosomal RNA". It matches the Rfam family "Bacterial small subunit ribosomal RNA", at positions 30 to 523 of the family's 1533-position model. The record is from RNAcentral.